Long non-coding RNA from Ictidomys tridecemlineatus (thirteen-lined ground squirrel), 1538 nucleotides. RefSeq lists it as uncharacterized. The record is from RefSeq and is a predicted model, not a curated record. NCBI's taxonomy places the organism in Eukaryota, Metazoa, Chordata, Mammalia, Rodentia, Sciuridae.
UUAAGGAGGAAACCCGGAUUUUUCUUGCAAUUGUGACCUACAAUGGAGAAUACCCUAUGCGCUCAUUCCCACUCCCAGGUUGCAAAGGGAGAAGGGAUGAAGUAGAACAAAACCCUAUCCUCAAAAUUCAGAGCCUCCUGCAGUCCAGGGCUCCCAAGAGGGUGGAGUUAGGAGACCGGACUUUCAAUAUCUCUUUGCUCCACCUGGUGAUUACUAAGUGCAGCCAUUAGGGAGGGAGCCUAGGGAAAGGUCACUAAUGAAUAAUUAAUCCACCUUCUCACCUUUUAGUCCCAGGCCCUGAAACUGCUGGGCUUAGAAGAGGACCUUGCUCCCAGGUCUGUGCCCUGGACUGUCAGCGCACCCUUGUAGCUUGAUCCACCCGUCUCUGCUUCACUUUCUCUAAGCAGGAGCCAUUUCCCAUUUGGAAAACCUCACAAGGUCCCACAGUUGUUCAAGGAACAAGCAGCCUCCAGGAUCGCGAGAGAGCCCCACCUCCCCCGGCCCUGGACCGAGAGCCCAGCAUCCUCCUCUUCUUAUCCGAAGCUCGAAUGUUGAAUUUCCCUGAGGGCAGAGGAGGGACCCCAGAGAUGGAAACCGAAGAGCUGCAAGGUCUCACUGCCCAUUUUCCCAGCAACACCGCGGAGUUUUUAAAGUCUUUGAAAACCCAUCACAGAGAGGUCCCAAAUUUAUAACACUGGGCAUCUGGGGCACUCCAGGACUCCACAUGCUGCCUUUGCAAAACUUCCAUGGGAGCAUAAUAGGCCCUCAGCAACACAUUUAGCCUCCCUCCCCAAAGCCUUUUUAAAAUUUUCCAUAGUAUUCAAAACAUCUUGUGGUAGUAUGCAAAUAACUUCAGAUAUACCAAAGAGUAACUGUGACUCAUUAUAAAAUAAAUGGUAGGGACUUGAAUUAUGUCAGAAUUCAAGUAAGGAAACUACUUUAAAUGAGCCUCACUUUUUAUGAUGCUAGGCCCCUAAUGUAAAAUUAUUUCUUGGCAAGACAACUUCUUAGAGGAUAAAACCACCGAACAACAACAAAACACUUCAUAGGACUCUUGUUUAAACUCUACUGAACAGUCCCCUGAUCCAAUUUAACAAGAUAUUUCUUCUCUGCUAAGAAGAAGAGUAAAUUGUGCUUCAUGGCCUAAAAUCUUACAUGUAGUAUCAAAUAGCAACCGAAUGCCUAUGUGACUAACUCUAAACUGACCAAAUGGUUACUUAAUUAAAGACUGACUCAAAAGACAAAAAAAAAAAAAAUGAUUUCUAUUCUAUUCUAGGAUUUGGCAAUGUAUGCACAAAAUACUCUUGUGUGUACUUACUUUUCAGUUCCUAUCCCCAAAUGGUUUCUAUCCUAGAAAGGAUUUAAAUGUUAUUCAAAGACAAUGAUGAAAUGAAAUGAAAUAGCUCUCCAUUGACAAGUAAGCUGAAAGCAAGAAAAUGUUUUAGUGAGUAGUAAUUCUGGUUUAACUGCUGUAUAAGUGGUUCAGGUUCUCUCUCUCUCUCUCUCUCUCUCUCUCUCUCUCUCUCUCUCUCUCUCUC